This 839-nucleotide unclassified non-coding RNA is filed under the name Hevea brasiliensis (rubber tree). The record is from RNAcentral. Lineage: Eukaryota; Viridiplantae; Streptophyta; Magnoliopsida; Malpighiales; Euphorbiaceae.
GUUUUUCUCAACUAAAAUUGGUAUUGAUUUUCAUCUCUAUACUUGAGUUUUCUGAAUUUGAUGGGUUAGUCUUAUUUGGACCAUCCUAAAUAUCUGAUGCAUGCUUGGUAAAUAGUAAUUGGCAAGUGCAUUUACUUUCUUCUGUGUUCGUCAUUGAUUUGUUAUCUGCUCUAGAAGCUCUAAAUUAAGCAAGUUGUUGUAAAGGUAUAUUUAUAUUAUUGUCUUCAUUUUCCAUUUUGUUGUUGAUGAUAAUGCAUUUCUUUUGCUUUUAUCUGAUUGAGCUUAUAAUUCAGUAGUAAUGUUGAUAUGUUAAAAGAGUCAUUUCACAACUGCCACUAGUUUGAAUGAAUAAAGCAGAAGAUAGGACCAGACAAUGGUAAAAUUGACAAAGGUUGCAUGUUUCUGGUGCCUGUUUUACCGUCUAGUUUAUAGUGAUACCAUCCGCAUCACUAAAGGGGUGCUUUAUACCUUAUUUUAACUUCAUUAACAAUCAGUUAAUACAGUAACUAAGUUGCAAGUAAGAGCUGUAUUUUCACCUAUGCAUUUAUCUAGAUUGCACCUUCCAAGCUUGGGCUUUGUAUACUCAUUUUGUGGUACAACCAUGGCCUUAAAGAGGUUUUUAUGUGCAGUUUGCAGCCCUUUUGUUAUUAUUUUUCUGUUCAUUGAAUUGGGCUAUUUCUGAUUCAAUUGUUUUAUUUGUCCAUUGGUUCUCUAUGAAAAACAAAACAAUUUCGAUGUUUGAUUUUGAUAUUUAACACUAACAGUUGUAUUGCAACUUUCUGCAUUUGUAUUCCAAAUUCCUUUUUUUGUUGCAUGCAGAGAAGUAGCUUUAUUGCUGA